AACAACGUGAGGGUGAGUAAAUGAUGACAGAAUUUCAUUUGUGCGGGAACUGUCCCUUUAAAUUAGUCGCAUGGCCUUCACAUACCUUCAACAUAAAGAGCGGGCAACAAUUAGUCUUACUAACUAGCACAGCGCUGAAACGACACUGGAAAACCUUUGACACUCAUUUCACAUGAAGGGGGAUGAUUUACCUCCUGUAAUGACAGACACUGAAGAAUGAAAUUGUUUUACUGUUUGGUUUUCUCGGAGCACACUGGACAUUUUUGAAAGAAAGAUUUAUUAAAAUGUUAGAACAUUAAUUAGCAACUCAAAUGUGUGAAAAGGUCAUUUGUACAUUAUGUAUAUAGAGGCGGAUUUAUUCAGGAUUUUCUUACA
Long non-coding RNA from Sinocyclocheilus rhinocerous, 375 nucleotides. RefSeq lists it as uncharacterized. The record is from RefSeq and is a predicted model, not a curated record. NCBI's taxonomy places the organism in Eukaryota, Metazoa, Chordata, Actinopteri, Cypriniformes, Cyprinidae. The transcript has 3 exons.